RNAcentral lists this ribosomal RNA (1080 nucleotides) under Wickerhamiella pararugosa. Its description in RNAcentral is "eukaryotic LSU rRNA". The stretch from base 509 to 1080 matches the Rfam family "Eukaryotic large subunit ribosomal RNA", at positions 1 to 582 of the family's 3401-position model. Lineage: Eukaryota; Fungi; Ascomycota; Dipodascomycetes; Dipodascales; Trichomonascaceae. The record is from RNAcentral.
CCCUCCCUUUGUACACACCGCCCGUCGUUACUACCGAUUGAAUGACUUAGUGAAGCCUUUGGACGUGCGAUUGAUGAGGGCGACCUCUGCCGUUGUACGAAAAUUGGAUGAACUUGGCCAUUUAGAGGAAGUACAAGUCGUAACAAGGUUUCCGUAGGUGAACCUUCGGAAGGAUCAUUAUAGAUUUAUUGAUACUUUGUGAAACAAAUGAUAAGCUUUAUGCGAAAUACUUUUUAUUAAUUUAGUCUAAUACGAAAAAAAUCAAAACCUUUAACAAUGGAUCUCUUGGUUCUCGUAUCGAUGAAGAACGCAGCAAAGCGCGAUAGAUAAUGUGAAUUGCAGACGUGAAUCAUUGAGUUUUUGAACGCACAUUGCACCUCUUUGGAGGUAUACUUGUGUGAGCGUCAUUUUUUCUCCACAUAUAUAUUAGUGGGUAAUGGUUCACUAUAUGGACUGAAAAAGAUUAUACACAGUUGUUAGACACAAGCUGUGGAAAAUUAUCAAAUUUUGACCUCAUAUCAAGUAAGAUCACCCGCUGAACUUAAGCAUAUCAAUAAGCGGAGGAAAAGAAACCAACAGGGAUUCCCUUAGUAACGGCGAGUGAACCGGGAAAAGCUCAAAUUUGAAAUCUGCCAACAGGCCGAGUUGUAAUUUGUAGAUGGCUACACUGCAUAAUAGUAGAUGCUCAAGUUCUUUGGAAAAAGACAUCAUGGAGGGUGACAAUCCCGUGAGGCAUGUUACUAGGAGCAUAUAGUGGGCUUUCUAAGAGUCGAGUUGUUUGGGAAUGCAGCUCAAAGUGCGUGGUGAAUACCAUGUAAAGCUAAAUAUGGACGAGAGACCGAUAGCGAACAAGUACUGUGAAGGAAAGAUGAAAAGCACUCCGAAAGGAGAGUGAAAUAGUACGUGAAAUUGUUAAAGUGGAAGGGCUUGAGAUCAGAAUUGGUAGUUUGGGUUCCACGUCCUCUUGGGGGCGUGUACUCCCUUUCCACCGGGCCAGCGGGAGUUUCGUCUCUUGGGUAAAAGCAGUGGAAUGUAGCAGCUUGUCUGUAUUAUAGCCUCUGUUCAUACAAGACGUCGAGA